This 769-nucleotide ribosomal RNA is filed under the name uncultured beta proteobacterium. RNAcentral describes it as "bacterial SSU rRNA". It matches the Rfam family "Bacterial small subunit ribosomal RNA", at positions 28 to 792 of the family's 1533-position model. The record is from RNAcentral. Lineage: Bacteria; Pseudomonadati; Pseudomonadota; Betaproteobacteria.
AUUGAACGCGGCGGCAUGCUUACAGCCAUGCAAGUCGAACGGCAGCACGGGAGCAAUCCUGGUGGCGAGUGGCGAACGGGUGAGUAAUACAUCGGAACGUGCCCUGUAGUGGGGGAUAACUAGUCGAAAGACUAGCUAAUACCGCAUACGACCUGAGGGUGAAAGUGGGGGACCGCAAGGCCUCAUGCUAUAGGAGCGGCCGAUGUCUGAUUAGCUAGUUGGUGGGGUAAAGGCCUACCAAGGCGACGAUCAGUAGCUGGUCUGAGAGGACGAUCAGCUACACUGGGACUGAGACACGGCCCAGACUCCUACGGGAGGCAGCAGUGGGGAAUUUUGGACAAUGGGGGCAACCCUGAUCCAGCAAUGCCGCGUGUGUGAAGAAGGCCUUCGGGUUGUAAAGCACUUUUGUCCGGGAAGAAAUCGCACCUGAUAAUACCGGGUGUGGAUGACGGUACCGGAAGAAUAAGGACCGGCUAACUACGUGCCAGCAGCCGCGGUAAUACGUAGGGUCCAAGCGUUAAUCGGAAUUACUGGGCGUAAAGCGUGCGCAGGCGGUUGUGCAAGACCGAUGUGAAAUCCCCGGGCUUAGCCUGGGAAUUGCAUUGGUGACUGCACGGCUAGAGUGUGUCAGAGGGGGGUAGAAUUCCACGUGUAGCAGUGAAAUGCGUAGAGAUGUGGAGGAAUACCGAUGGCGAAGGCAGCCCCCUGGGAUAACACUGACGCUCAUGUACGAAAGCGCGGGGAGCAAACAGGAUUAGAUACCCUGGUA